CUGGAUUGAUUUUUCUUCUUUUAAACAAAAAAUAUAUCUGUGAAGUAAAAAAUAUUUUUAAAAUAUUCUUCAUGCAAUUGAGGCAAAGUUGUGGAAAGCCUAUUGGGAGUGUCCAGGGUGCAGGACACCAGGACUGGUGGGGAAGAGGAGAGCAUUCUAGAAAUAGAGGUAGGAAAACUGCUGUCAGUCCUGGCUUUGCCCUCAAUGGACUUAAGCAUAGAAAUCUCCAAUAAUCUCCCUGCUCGACUAGCUCUGUGAGGAGUUGGUGAGAUCUGUCAGCAUUUGUGGCCUUAAAUUCAGCAGACUAAGUUCUGUGCAGUUAUGGCUAGAGAUUGUCCACAUUGCUUGCACACCCCAUGGCUUUAACCUCUCGCCAGCCCACUAGCGUGAAUUACUGGAGGGAAGGGGCGCCCCCUACCAACAAAACCCCCUGCUUCUGUCUUCCCAAGUGGCUUCUAUUCAAGGCAAAAUGUUUGGCUUGCUAGGCACUUCGGUCAGGGCCUGUGACUUGGCUGUGCUCAGCAGAAGGGAGGCAGGAAAGCUUGCUUUGAAACUGUAGCAAGCCUUCCAGCUGAUUCAGUUCCAUUCUGGUUAUAAAUAUCAAGGGGAAGCCUUGGCUCCUCUGCCUUGUUUACUGUGGAGGUGUGGGAUGCUCCACUGAAAGGUUUGCUGAUUUGUCAGACUGCCUGAUACUGUUACAGCAUCACAGGCAAAGGGUGCCUGGGCACAGGAGGGACAGCCACCUUCCUGGGGAUGCUGUGGAAGCUAGGACAGGCCCUGUACCCACAGAGAGAGGGCAAGAGAAAUGCUCAGCUCCCAGCCUUGGCACCAAUAAGCUGUGCUCCCUCUUCUUGCAUUUGGCUUUGGUGCCUCAGGCCUGAAAAUAAAAGAUUAGAACAGAUGAUUCCAAAGGCCCCUCCCCCCAACAAUCUUUGUUUCAGGCAUUUGGAGCAUCUACAGAUGCUGGGGAACACUGCAAGCCACGGGUGUCUGAUAAGAAACGGCAUGACUGCUGGGGACGGGUGGAGUUCGUUUUCAGUUUUUUUAAUGGCUCACCCUCGGGCCCUGAAACGUCCUUUCUUAGGAAAUACUAACACAAAUGUUCAAACGUGGAUGUUUGGAACUGUAAAAUAUCCAGAUCAAUGCAGAGGCCCAUUAGUGGCAUGGGGGGGGUAAGAUAAAUAAAUCUAUGGCGCAACUACGAUAAUGACGGUAGAGCCACAUAGACUAAAAAAAAAAAAAUUCAGUAACUACCAGUUAAGGACUCGGUUCGGAUUCCCAGAACCCACAUAAAACCUGGAUGCCAGGGCAUGUGCCUGGAAACUUAGCACAGGAGAGAUGGAGACAGGUGGAUGGUGGGGACUCACUAGCCAGUUAGUCUAACCAAAACUGUGAGCUCCGGGCUCAGUUAGAGACCUAUCUCAAAAACAAACAAACAAAAGAGGGGGGAUAGAGAGCUGACUCAGCAGUUUAGACCACCUGGUGUUCUCGCGGAGGACUUGGGUUCUCUUCCUAGCUCCUGAAUAGUGGCUUAACUCCAUUUAACUGUCCUUAACUCCAGUUCCUGGCAACCUGAUGCCCUCUUCUGGCCUACAAGGGUGCCAGGCACACAUGUGGUGCACAUAGAUACAUGCAAGCAAACACAUAUAUAAAUUAAAAAGAAAUCUUAAGAAGGAAAUUGAAGACAUCCAGAUGUCUACCCUGCUCUACACAUACACACACAAACACACAUACACACACACACACACACACAUGCACACACACAUGCAUCCAAAAUACAACUUCAUGUGAAAAAAGACUAGAUUGUUCAGUAAAAUAAACAUUAUGAUUUAUUAAAUUUCCUAAAAUGAAAUUUAGAUAAAGGUAUUAUGGAAUGUAGUAGAUAGAUCAUCUUUAAUUACACAUUUCUACUUAUAGUUACAAACACAAAGAGCCGAGACGACUCUAGAUCAAACUUUUAACAGGGUUGAAUUUUCAUAGCUCAGCAGGAGAUUGGCUCCUGAGUACCCAACAUGGGGCUGGUGUAACAGACAAGAUAAAGCUUAAUUAACUUAAUUCUAAUUGCUUGAAAUUUCGCAUAAAAUCGGGCACUUGAUUCAGGUUUUGGAAAACUUUCAACCACUUAGGUACAUAGAUUCAGCUUUUCAGCCAGAAUGGCUUUUUGACUGUGCAUUUUAAUGAUUCAAAACAUAGAUGAAGCAUUUCCAACGAGAAGCAUCAAUGAGAAGUAUCUAAGCAUAAACUACACAGCAGAUGCAGACUACAGACAGUAACAAACAACAGUAAUCCCAUGUCUUGUUAAUUUGAUUAGAUAUUGCAAUGAUGAUCUUCAUACAUCAGUCUAAAUAAAAUGUGUGACAUAAGUGAAUGUCACCUAUUUCCUCUUUCUGCUUUAAAUGCCACAUGUGGGCUGGCCUUGCAUGGCUAUUGGACAUCUUGCAUUGUUCAGAACAUCUGGGUGGAGAAGGAGCUGGCCAGGCUUGGAGUUUUUGACUUUGUAGAUUUCUGUAUUGUUUAAUUUUGUUACGGUACACAUGGGUUGCUUUCAUUGUUUACAAAGAACAAAAAAGGGUCUUAAACAAAGUUAAUUUCUAUGACUAUGCUUGUAUAUAUUGUAUGUAUGCGUAUGUGUGGGUGUGCAUGCAUGCACCUCUAUCUGAGGGAAAGCCUGCACAUGUGUGUGCCUACAAGUGAAGUCAGAGGUAUGUUGACCUCCUCAACUGCUUUGAGCCAGAGGCUCUCACUGAACCUAGAGCUUGCUGAUUGGUUAGACUGGCUGCCUCACAAAUCCUAGGGCUCCUCCCGUGUCAACCUGCACAGUGUUGGGAUUGCAGGUGUGUUCCUCGUGUGCCCCGCGUGCCUGACUUUUUACACACGUGUGCCAAAGAUCUAAACUCAGGCCAUCAAGCUUGUAGAGCUGGCAUCUGACUGAGCCAUCUCCCAAGACCCUCUAAAAUAUGUCUGGAUGUAUCAAGGAAACUGUGAGACUCUCCCCCUGAUUCAUUUCUGUGAUACUGUUGUCAGCGCCUGAAAUAAAUGUUUUCCCAUUAGGUGACAAUAAAACUUGCCCGGUGUCUCUCUGAUUUACCAGCAGUUUCUAAUCACCUGACCCCCUUUUAUUUUUUUAUUACUGCUAUCAUUAACAAGGUACCCCUGCUUGACAACCAUCCCAGCUGGAUUAGCAAGGAAUUGUUUUUCAGGGAGUAGGAGGUAAGCCCAGGAGAGAUGCGAAAAGGGAGAAAAAAAAAAGAUAAAUAAUCCUUAAAGAAAUCUCUCUUCUUUUUUUCCAAUUUCCUCCUUAACCCGUAUCAAGAUUCCCCAAAGCUUUGGGGUCUGUAGUUUUAGGCUGAACUUCCUACCUUAUUAAUUGACAAGGCCAGGGUUUGAACCUUUCCCCCAUAGACAUGUCUGUGUUACACAUAAAGAUGUCUGUGUUACACAUCAACAUGCUAUGGUUCUAACAAUAUCACUUUCAAAGGAGCACUAAUCCGCUGAAGUCACCCAGUCAGGAAACAUUUGCUUGGCCGUGUCUUGUGUCUGAUCUGUGUGUGUAGAAAGAAGACAAUUGGGAGGGAGGAAAGAAGGAAGGAUGAAGACAGAGUAAAUGCACUUUUCUCCAGGGUUGGGUGUGGGGGACUGUGCCACAUAUCCCAGGCUGGUCUCCGAUUUGCUAAGGCUGAGGAUGACCUUGAACUUCUGAUCCUCCUGCCUCCACCUCCUGAGCACGAGGGUUACAAGCAUGAACUACCGCGCCUGGUUUAUGCAGAGCUGGGACAGGAUCAGGGACUGUACAAGCUGGACAGGCAUUCUACCCACAGAGCUCAUCCCCAGCCUACAACUGUGAGUUUGCAAGUUUGGACUUCUCAAAUACCAAACUAAUCCUCCGGUUCAUCUUUGCUGUGCCAUCAGCUUUUGCAUUAUCUACCCUCUGUUUAAAAAGCAAGUUGCAACCUUUCUAUACAAACUUAGAGAAGGUUAGGGGAGAAGUGGUUGGGUUUGAAUGGAUGUGGGGUGACUGGAGCUCUCCAACACAUUAGGACAUGGCUGUCUGCGUGUCCCCCAGACGGCGUGGGACGCAUCAUAACCCCAUCUCCAUGCAUCAGAUUUCUCUGCUUUUGUCUUCCUUACUAGGCUAAAGGGUCCAGCAAGUCAGUUAAGGCCAGCCAAUAGCAGGCUCGGUGAAAAUGCAUUGAUUACUCAGUGAAAGAGUGAGUGAGGAAACGACUGGACUGGUCAUCGUCUACAGCCGUGAUGAAGUUAGAGUUCAUCUUAGAGAAUGAGAUUAAGUGUAGGUGUGUAUGUGAAUCCAGGUGUUCAUAGAGACCAGCGACCUUGGAUCUCUUGGAGCUGGAGUUACAGACAGCUGUGAGUUGCUUGAAGUGGAUGCUAGGAACUGAACUCGGGUCCUCUAGAAGAGCAGCAAGUUCCCGCAACUGCUGAGCCUUCUCUCCAGUCCUGCCAUCAAGUUUUAUAAGCUAAACUCGAGUCCACAAAAGUUAUAAAUUACGAAGACAGUUCUGUUACCAUAUCACAACCAUGUGACCUUGACCAGGAAUUAAGUUUUCCUCCUUGAUUGUUUAUGAAAUAUAGGCUUCAUGUAAUACAAUGUAAGAAAUUCAGGAAAGAAGAAAAUGUGACGUCACCACUGACAAUAUUUUGAUAUUCACUCAUUCAUCCAUUGUUUUCUUCAGAGUCUAACUUUGUAGCUCAGGCUGGCCUUGAAGUUGUAGCAAUCCUACUGCCUCAGCUUUCUGAGUGCUGGAACUGCAGGUGAAUGGCACCAUGCCCCUCUCCACUGAUAAUAUUUAAAGAAUCUUCUUGCUCAAUAUCUUGAAAAGAAAAGAAAUGAGGUUGAAUUCUACAUGACAAUUAGUAAGCUGUUCUUAAUUCGGUAGAUGUAGUCACCUUUCUACGGCAAUUUGUAUCAAGUUUUUAUAUGGGUGGUCACAAAUGCAGUUAGUCAAUGCUCUAUUGAUGGUUAUUUUGGUUGUGACUUUUCACUGUAUAGUUAACUUUGUGGAAUUUUUACAUACCUGUAAAGGAAUCCAGGGGACUUGCUCCAUUCUUCAAUAUCUAACAUGUAACAAUGGUUCUUACUUGGUAAUUAAAAGUAAGAUUGUCUUCAUAAACAUGUGGCCACAAAACAUGAGUAAUGUUCCAUGGGAUUCAAACAUGAGAUAUAAAUACAAAAUACAAAAACUUAUCGAAUCAAAUAUGGAAUUGUUCCUUAGCUUUAUAAAAGAAUUUGUGUCAAGUUUCACUUAUUAUCCAGGCUGUGUAGGAGGUGGGGAGACGUGUCUGUGGAUUCUUAAUGCCCCAUGAUUGACUAAUGACUGACUGACUGAUUGAUUGAUUUUAAUUUUUAGUUUAUUUACAGGAAUUGAAUCCCAUGGACUUUCACAUAUGCAGUCCUCCACUGAGCUACGUCCCCAGUCCCACUAAUGCUGUCAUUUCUAAACUAACCUACUGACCAGGCAUUCUUAGGACCCAUGCCUGUGAUUCCCGCACUCAGGAAGUCUCUUUUACAACUAGUUAGUUUAUUCAACUCUCUUCAGCCAAGUCUUGUGACCCACAGCCUCUUUACCAUUGACCUCAAGGCUGGCACAUGUUGACAUCUGGACCUUUUAGGUCCAGGUCUCCUACUACUCCACAUCUGCUGCUGAAGUAAAGGUGCUUCUUUAGAUGGGUCCUGACUUGGGAUUCACAGGAUCUGUAUCCACGCAGCUCAUCCAGGACUCAUAAGCCAGGUGGAAUGAAUGGUCUGGAGACACUAGCGCCAUAUCUACCCAAGCAUCAGAGCAAAACCAGUGGCUUCUUACUCACAGGCUUGGCCAUCCUUAGAUAGCAGGUACUAACUGUCGUCCCCAAAGCCACUUUUCUGAAGCUUGUCUUUUGAGACAUGAACUCCACCUUGCGUGUCUCUCUCCUCCAUGUUUGUGCCCAAGCCCAGCAUAUUACAGCAGAGGGAACAGAACCUGUUUCUGACAACCAUGCCUCUCUCUCUCCCCGCUGGCACAGGUGAACCAUGCUGGCUGCCUGCGACCUGCUGACUCAUCACAUUUGCCUCCCACUCAAGUCACUGAGCGACACUGUCAGGCACGCUUGUCCUUCUCACAAGUGGAAACAUAGUCAGAAGAGGAGGCUCAGAGAGUUUCGGAAUCCAUUCUGAGGUCAUGCCACUGUGUGUAACAGUUUCUGUGAGACUGAAACAUCCUAUCCUACAGGGAAGCUCCUUGAACAGGAAGGUAAACAAUUCAAAACAGCUUCAGGAAGUCCCUGAGACGGACCAGAUUCACAAGGUUUCCGUGCCAGAGUAGUGGAAUGUCCCUCUGAGACAAACUGAGCUGCAGAGAAGACUGAGGCCAGCCCAGCUGCCUGUAGGAAGCAGAAAUCAGCAGAGCUGCCUGGAAGAAGUUUAGCCCAGAGUAACCUGGAAAAGACAUUCUUCAACCUGCUGAGCUGCCUGAGCUGCCUGCAGGCUGUGCAGUGCGCUCCAGGGGCCCAGCUUUGUGAGCAGUCGCCAGGCUGGGGCGGGCUUUGGUGAUGCAGUUGUCUGUGAGUCAUUUCUGCUCCUGUAGUAACUUUUAACCCAUACUUCUAUAAGUAGUCCCAAUAAAACUCAUUGUUUGA
Non-coding RNA from Myodes glareolus (Bank vole), 6630 nucleotides. The record is from RefSeq and is a predicted model, not a curated record. Lineage: Eukaryota; Metazoa; Chordata; Mammalia; Rodentia; Cricetidae.